ACUUGGCCCUGGAGGGCUUCUUUGGAGAUAAAUCCCACAGAAGGGGAGGGGAAAUUAUGUAACUCAGGGAAAAACGCUAUGUGGAGUCCCAUGUACUCACAAUCUCUCUGGAGGAAACCAGGCUUCACCGUCGCCAGGUGACAACGAAAUGCCCUAACCCCGGGCUGCCAGCAGCACAGGGCCAUGGAAUCCAGGGAGAAACAAGCUCUGAGCUGAGGGGUGUGUAAAAUGGAGGUUCUGAUUCGGUAGCUCCGGGGCGGGCCUGAGCUCUGCAUUUCUGAUGCUCCCAGGGAUGCUGAUGUUGCUGGUCUGGGGACCGCUCUGAGGUCAGGGCUGUGGAGGGCAGGCACCAGGCUGAGCAGCGGCACUGCUGGUGCUGAGUCAGCUCUUCCCUCAGCCCCUGAGGUCUGGAGUGCUUCCCGUUGGGAGAUUUACUAGUUUUCUUGCUUGGCUACCCGGCAUUAACAGGCAUUGGAACCGUGGGAAGCGAGUCUCCUGCCCAUCUCUGUUCAUCCCGGACAGUUGCAAUUGUGGAGGGACCCUCCAAUGACAUUGGACACUGGAGGCCCAGAGAAGGAAGUCCUCUGAAGAGAAUAAAAUAGUCCACUUAAAGCAACACCAGAAGUCUCUUGGGAUAUGUGAGGACAAUAGCUCCCUGUGUGUGCUGGAGACCUUGGACAAAGUCCCCAAGUCAUAUCCAUACCUACAAGGUGUCAGAAGAAAAGAUUACAACACAUCCCGUUUAAAGUGGGCUCAACCUACUCCAAGGCACCCUCUUCUGGUGAGAAUCACAGGCCUAGAAGGAAAGAAGGGGAUGUCUAUCAGCUGCCAUGCCUGUGCCUCUCUGCUUCCUUUGUUCCAUGCACAUGGCACACUGUCUACUUGCUCAAUGCUGUGGUCUCAGCCCUAGCACUGGACUCAGUAAGGAAUUAGUUGAGCGAAUGAAUGGAUUCUCCAGC
Long non-coding RNA from Homo sapiens (human), 959 nucleotides. The record is from Ensembl. NCBI's taxonomy places the organism in Eukaryota, Metazoa, Chordata, Mammalia, Primates, Hominidae.